GGUUGACCUCGGAUCAGGUAGGAAGACCCGCUGA
This 34-nucleotide ribosomal RNA is filed under the name Amesomyces atrobrunneus. RNAcentral describes it as "Amesia atrobrunnea partial 28S ribosomal RNA". Lineage: Eukaryota; Fungi; Ascomycota; Sordariomycetes; Sordariales; Chaetomiaceae. The record is from RNAcentral.